RNAcentral lists this long non-coding RNA (294 nucleotides) under Gossypium raimondii (Peruvian cotton). RNAcentral describes it as "long non-coding RNA (GRAI_LNC009960)". The record is from RNAcentral. Lineage: Eukaryota; Viridiplantae; Streptophyta; Magnoliopsida; Malvales; Malvaceae.
UUAGAUUAGGUUUUUCCUUUUCUUUUUAGAAUAGAUUUUUUUUUUGUUUCUUCUUUCUUGUUAAAGACCUUCGUAAAUGAAUAUGGAUCAAGUUUUUGGGUGUUAUUGGUUCCACAUAUAAAUGAGCAUUUUUACCCUUACCUUUAUAUUGUGUAUAUCAACUAUUUGAUGAAAUGUCUAUUUGAGUAUUAAGCUUUAUUAUAUGUUGAUAUUGCUUUUGGUUAAUUGAUGAAUUGAUUGUUAGAUUAAGUUAAUGUCUAUGCUUUAUUUUUUAGUUUUUUUUAUAUCAAAAUG